This 274-nucleotide ribosomal RNA is filed under the name unidentified marine bacterioplankton. RNAcentral describes it as "partial 16S ribosomal RNA". It matches the Rfam family "Bacterial small subunit ribosomal RNA", at positions 45 to 339 of the family's 1533-position model. The record is from RNAcentral.
ACGCCUAACACAUGCAAGUCGAACGAAGUAGCAAUACUUAGUGGCAGACGGGUGAGUAACAUGUGGGUAUCUACCCUUUGGCCUGGAAUAACACGAGGAAACUUGUGCUAAUACCGGAUAAGUUCUUUACGGAGAAAGCUUUAUGCACCAUUGGAUGAGCCCGCACUUGAUUAGUUUGUUGGUAGGGUAAUGGCCUACCAAGACUAUGAUCAAUAGCUGUAUUUGAGGAGGAUGAUCAGCCACAGUUGGGACUGAGACACCGGACCCAAACUCC